Non-coding RNA from Gymnothorax javanicus (giant moray), 72 nucleotides. The record is from the annotation of a GenBank genome assembly. NCBI's taxonomy places the organism in Eukaryota, Metazoa, Chordata, Actinopteri, Anguilliformes, Muraenidae.
GACUUGGUAGCUCAGUUGCUAGAGCGGUGGGACGGAACCCCUAAAUUGUGAGUUUGAUCCUCACUCGGGUUC